RNAcentral lists this transfer RNA (72 nucleotides) under Camelus bactrianus (Bactrian camel). It matches the Rfam family "tRNA". From Rfam's summary of the family: Transfer RNA (tRNA) molecules are approximately 80 nucleotides in length. Their secondary structure includes four short double-helical elements and three loops (D, anti-codon, and T loops). RNAcentral also lists the same sequence under 2 other names. Lineage: Eukaryota; Metazoa; Chordata; Mammalia; Artiodactyla; Camelidae. The record is from Rfam by way of RNAcentral.
GAGGGUAUAGCUCAGGGGCAGAGUGCAUGUUUAGCAUGCAUGAGGUCCUGGGUUCAAUCCCCAGUACCUCCA